This 502-nucleotide ribosomal RNA is filed under the name uncultured bacterium. RNAcentral's name for it is "bacterial SSU rRNA". It matches the Rfam family "Bacterial small subunit ribosomal RNA", at positions 899 to 1397 of the family's 1533-position model. The record is from RNAcentral.
ACUCAAAGGAAUUGACGGGGACCCGCACAAGCGGUGGAGUAUGUUGUUUAAUUCGAUGCUACGCGAGAAACCUUACCGACCCUUGACAUGUCAGACGCGAUUUCCAGAGAUGGAUUUCUUCAAUUCGGUUGGUCUGAACACAGAUGCUGCAUGGCUGUCGUCAGCUCGUGUCGUGAGAUGUUAGGUUAAGUCCUGCAACGAGCGCAACCCACGCCCUUUGUUGCCAGCGGGUCAUGCCGGGAACUCUAAGGGGACUGCCCGCGUCAAGCGGGAGGAAGGCGUGGAUGAUGUCAAGUCAUCAUGGUUCUUACGGGUCGGGCUACAAACGUACUACAAUGGCGAUAACAGCGCGUCGCAAAGCCGCAAGGCCCAGCCAAUCGUUAAAAAUCGCCCCAGUUCAGAUUGUCCUCUGCAACUCGAGGACAUGAAGUCGGAAUCGCUAGUAAUCGCGGAUCAGAACGCCGCGGUGAAUACGUUCCCGGGUCUUGUACACACCGCCCGU